GGCUUUCAAGUGAGGGCAGUGGCUGC
RNAcentral lists this non-coding RNA (26 nucleotides) under Mus musculus (house mouse). The record is from RNAcentral. Lineage: Eukaryota; Metazoa; Chordata; Mammalia; Rodentia; Muridae.